This 1367-nucleotide long non-coding RNA is filed under the name Gallus gallus (chicken). Its description in RNAcentral is "lncRNA (ENSGALG00010008989.1)". Lineage: Eukaryota; Metazoa; Chordata; Aves; Galliformes; Phasianidae. The record is from RNAcentral.
CUGAUAUUAUUUUAGUGUAGCUGUUGUCUUUCAUAAUGGUAAAGGUUUUAAAUAGAAGAGAUCUGCUCUGUCUUGGACUGUCCCCAUUCAUUCUUCUCUGGGAUGUCCUCUGUAUGUUCAGUGGGAAAGGGGAAGGCACUAACAGCUAGUCAGCUGGUGCUUCCUUUGUCUGUACCAGCUUUACAUCCUAAUCAUUUAUCAGCUGAAAGGGCAGACUGACUCUCCACAGGACAUCUGCAGCCAGAGAGCAAGUACUUUAGUAUUUCAUGUUGACUCAGCAGCGGCAUACUUUAUGAAAGAGAAUACCACUAGCUUCUCUUCUUUUUAAAUUUUAUUUUAUGUUCAUACAUUUCCUGAAAGAACAAUCUGGAACUGUUCCACAUCCGCUGCAGCAAAGAAAGCUGCUACUUGUGCUGGUCUGCCCAACUUGCAUUCCUGGCAGCUAACUCUAGCUGCAAACUUUGUACCUGGAAAAACGUAUUUAUACAUUUCUUAAAUUAUUUGAAAAAAAAAAAAAAGAAAAAGAAAAAGAAAAAAAGAAGAAGAAAAAAAAAAGCACGCUAUAUCCACUAGUUAUGUGCCCAGAAGAUACUGAAAAGAGAAGGGAAAACUAAUAUUUUGCUCAGAUUGACUGUACCUCAAGAUCAGAGAGGAAUGAAAACGGAACUUGAACACUCAUGAGACUCUCUCCUUGCUUUGCACCAACAGAUGCUGGUUUGUUAUUAUCCUGGUGGGAGCCCUGAGCUGUCCAGCACCAAAUGGGUCUCUAAUCAUGGUGCAGCAUGCUGUGCAGAGUCCAUCCAUGCUGUGCAGAGUUCAUCCAUGCAAGUGCUCCGCAAUUUGCUCCUAUGAGCUCCUAUGGGAUUUUCUUAAAAAGAAGACAACUCUGUUCAUAAUUUCUACUAUCCAACAAAAGAGCAUUCCCAUGGGAACUUGUUGCUGCAGCUGUCCACAUAGAGACGAAAGAGAAGAAGAACUACGUAUCCCAGAGGACCUCGUGGUCAGAGAAGGAAGAUACAUCAUGGAAGAUACGUCAUCUGGUUGCACACGGUCUCUCACUUUCGCUUGCUGCCGGGAGAGGAGUGGGUGUGCUUUCCAAGCCGUGUGCCUUCAUCAGUCCUGAGUGAACUUUAGUAAGACUGGCAAUCCAAGGCUUGUGUGCCAGCAGCUUUGAUGGUGGAAAGGAUGCUUCUGAGUUAAGUAUAGUGGUCCCUGGUAAAGGUGUCUUUUCACUCUCCCUUUCAUGGUGUUUGUUGCUGUUGUUGUAGUUUGUUUGUUUUGGUUUCUUUUCCCCCUCAUUUUUAUUUGCAGGACAGUAAUGUUUUGAACCAAGGAAAAUCCACAUGGAAGUCUUUAUGUCAGACAAG